CCUACGGGGGGCAGCAGUGAGGAAUAUUGGUCAAUGGCCGGAAGGCUGAACCAGCCAUGCCGCGUGAAGGUCAGUGCCCUAUGGGCGUUAAACUUCUUUUGUGCGGGAGCAAUAAUGAUCCCGUGUGGCCAGACGAGAGUACCGUACGAAUAAGCAUCGGCUAACUCCGGGCCAGCAGCCGCGGUAAUACGGGGGAUGCAAGCGUUAUCCGGAUUUAUUGGGUUUAAAGGGUGCGUAGGCUGUGAGGUAAGUCAGCGGUGAAAUGCCCCCGCUCAACGGGGUGAAGUGCCAUUGAUACUGCCGUGCUGGAAUGCGGAUGCCGUGGGAGGAAUGUGUGGGGUAGCGGUGAAAUGCAUAGAUAUCACACAGAACACCGAUUGCGAAGGCAUCUCACGAAUCCGCGAUUGACGCGGAUGCACGAAAGCGUGGGUAUCAAACAGGAUUAGAUACCCCGGUAGU
This 459-nucleotide ribosomal RNA is filed under the name uncultured bacterium. RNAcentral describes it as "partial 16S ribosomal RNA". It matches the Rfam family "Bacterial small subunit ribosomal RNA", at positions 338 to 794 of the family's 1533-position model. The record is from RNAcentral.